CCAGAGACCUCUUUGCUACCUUGAAUGUUCUUGCUCCUUUUCUUUUCCAAGGUAAAUGCUUUAAAACCUUCAGAUCUUAACUUGGAUAGCAGUCUACAAUUGCUUCCUCAUGUCACCCCCAGUCCAUCCUGUGGCCGUCACCCAAUGACUUAAUGACUAAGAUUAUGAAAAGCAAAUCUCCUGGCCUCCAUAUGGAACAAUUCAGUGGUAUAAUGAAUGUCCUCCAGAGCUCUCCAUGGAGUCAAGUUCAAGUCAGUUUCCAGCUGAGACCACAUUCUUGCUUUGCUUUCUUCCCUGCUUCUCCUGAUUUCCUGAGAACACUUCCUCAAUUACUUACUCACACAAGACUUCUGAUCUCAGGCUCUUUCUAGAGAACUCAAGGACACUGCUUUACUUGGAGGAUGCAUUCAGAUUCAUUUUCUGUGUGGCACUAUUCAUUUUGGAAUUCUUAUUUGAUUCCAUAUACACUGACCCCAUCCUUAUACUGCAAGGCACUGUUAAAAUAGCCUGCAUACUCAAUAAAUGGCUUCUGUACAACAGCUUAUUAGAAAAAAAACACCCUGAUUCAACAAACACAAAAUUACAUCUUCAUAAAUGCAAUCAGAAGAAAACAACAGAGGAAACAGAGAAGAAUCACAGGAACUGUACAUGCUGCUCGUUGAAGGAGGUGAAACAGAGCUGCCUAGGUGAAAACCAGGAGUCCUAUCCACUAUGCCACCGCGAAGCAGAACAGCUGCAUCUGGAGCUUGGACUCUUGGCCUUCCUAACCCGGAAGAAUGGAGGAUGGGGCCACGGUUUUGCGGUUACCUGGUGCUUCUGUCUCACAGCUCUUAAGAUUCUGUCCUGA
Molecule: long non-coding RNA, 847 nt
Filed under: Callithrix jacchus (white-tufted-ear marmoset)
Lineage: Eukaryota; Metazoa; Chordata; Mammalia; Primates; Cebidae
Description: lncRNA (ENSCJAG00000061418.2)
Source: RNAcentral